GGAGAACACAAAAUCCUUUUCAUUGAAUGGGAAAAGAAAUGUAAAAGCACACACCAAAGAGAAUAUUUCCACAAGAAGUGCCAUCUACAAAGAAUUGGAUGGUAAAAUUACACCUCAGGGCGUAUAAACCGAAAAAGAAAAGAUAAAUAUACAAAACUAGGAAUUCCAGAUUUCAUCCACUCACUCUAUUCCCAUUUCAAUUUCCUUACUACAAAGCUUUUAUUUCUUUGCUUUUUUUCUUAUUUUUUUGUUCCUAUUCCACAGUUAUUUCUAAUAUCGUUGUAAGUCUGGGUGUUUUGUAUCUUCUGAGAAGUAAAGAUGAACAUACAACACUUACAGAUGAGAGAGCCAUGCAAGCACCAGCUGCCCAUGGCGGCAACUGGAUCCCUAGUAUUGGAAAGAAAACUCCAGCAGCAACAGGUAUUGCUAUCACGUUAUAUGCCAUUGCAAAAAUAUAAUUCCAUCGAAUGCGAGAGAGAGUUUUCCUUGAAAGAUCAAUGGCUGUGAUUACGUCUUCUAAGUUAUUCCUCAUCAAGACAUAGUCUGCAGCUUCUAUAGCGAUGUCCGUUCCUGCCCCAAUUGCCAUCCCAACAUCAGCGGCAGCUAAGGCAGGAGAGUCAUUGAUACCAUCACCCACCAUUGCAACUACACUUCCAUCCUUCUGAAACAAAUCAAUGACUUCAGCUUUUCCCGCAGGCAAUACUUCAGCCCUCACAUCUUGAAUGCCUACCUGCUCAGCAACAAGUAUGUUAAGUCUCCCACACUAAACCGUUCAAACAAUAGCACAAGGACUAGGAGUUAUUAGCACUAAAUCAAAAGCUAUAAAAAGCGCAGUGAAAAGUAAUUCCGAACUGUUUGAUAAAACAUAAAUCAGGUGAGUAUGCUUUCAGACUGCAUACCCAAGUCAAACAAAAAAUUCUCAGUAGAAACUCAGAGCCAUAUGGUAUAACAAUAGCAGAAGGCAAAACUAGAAACAGGCAACUCUAGCUCAACAAGAGGCCAAUUGAUAAGGCACAAGAAAGAACAUCAAUAGGAGCUAAGAGGAUUUCCUUCUAUUUGCGUGUGCAUUUAUCAAUAGUGGUCAAAGUACCAAUGUAUUAUAGAAAUAUACACAAACCUCUUGGGCAACAGCACGAGCUGUUCUCCAAUUAUCUCCCGUCACCAUGACUGGUUUGACACCCAUUUUUUGAAGACCUUCUAUGACUAUAGCAGCUUCUCUCUUUAGUGGGUCUGCAACCCCCAAGACACCUAUCAAGUUGUCAUCAAAUGCAACAAGUAUGCCUGUCUUUGCACUUUCUUCAAGUUCUACUACAAAAUUUUCUACAUGUGUUGGGAUGGUGAUUCCAUUUUCAUUCAUCAGCUUCCGAUUGCCAACCAAAACUUGUUUUCCAUCAAUAAAGCACUUGACCCCUCUUCCUGGAAGAGCAUUGAAUUCUGAGACAUCAAGAAGCCAUCCAGAGAUUAUGGACACUUUGCUGUUGUUUUGGCCAUCCUCAGUUGCAGAAGGGUAAUCAAAGAAAUGGAAAUGGCGUGCAUAUUCCACUAUUGCUUUUGCCAAUGGAUGUUCACUGCUAGCCUCUGCAGAUGCCACCCAUUUGAGGAAUUCUCCACGAUCCAUUCCAGUGAAAACCUUUGCAGUAGUAACUGUGGCUUUCCCCUGGGUUAGAGUGCCUGUUUUAUCAAAUAUGACAUACUUGAUCUUCUGAGCUCUUUCCAAAGCAUCUCCUCCUUUUAUCAGUACACCGUUGUUAGCCCCAACCCCAGUUGCAACCAUGACAGCAGUUGGUGUUGCCAAGCCAAGAGCGCACGGACAUGCAAUUACCACCACUGAAAUUGAAAACAUGAGGGCAAAAACAAAGUAAUUGCCAUUUUCUGGUAGCCAAUCAUCUGGAUAAGCACCUAUAGUUCCACCAACAUACCAACCCAAAAAUGUCAACAAAGACAUAGCAACAACAGUAGGAACAAAAAUGCUCGCCACAAAAUCUGCAAAUUUCUGAAUUGGAGCUUUGGACAUUUGGGCUGUCUCAACCAAACUAAUUAUCUGGUUCAAAACUGCAUCAGAUCCUACUUUGGUAGCCUGCAUUUGAAGAGCACCAUGCAAAUUUAUUGUACCUCCAAUAACCAAAGAAUUAGCCUCCUUCAAAACAGGUGCAGAUUCACCAGUUACCAUACUUUCAUUAACAUAACUUGAACCCCAUACAACAACACCAUCAGCAGGAACUUUGGCACCAGGAAGAACUUUUAAUGUGUCACCAGGCUGAAUUAGUAAGGCAUCUAUUUCCCUUUCCCCAAUGCACCUUCCACCUUUGUCUUUGACAAUCAGAAGCGCCGUUGCUGGUGCAAGUUCUACUAACUUCUUUAUGGCAUCUGAUGUUUUUCCCUUUGCAAGACACUCCAAAUACUUCCCCAACAGUACAAAUGUUAUCAGCAUGGAACUUGUUUCAAAGUAUGUUGGAGACCAGAAUCCAGAAGCCGCACCAUAUAGCAGUGCACAAACUGAGUAGAAGUAUGAGGCUGAAGUCCCUAGUGCAACUAAAACAUCCAUGUUGGUUGAACCAUUUCGAAGGGCUCUACCAGCUGCUACAUAGAAGCGCUUCCCAAUUACAAACUGAACCACACUCACUAAUGCCCACUUUAACCAAUCACCCAUAAGGAAGGGUCCACAUCUCCAGAGAAGCAAAGAAUAUAGAAGUGGAAUGUGAGGGCAUAUAACUCGUAUGAAAAAUAUAGGAAUACUAAGAAACAGACUGGAAAUGAAUAGCCGAAACAUAGUGGAGGUUUCUUCAACAUCUUUAGAAGUCAUUCUUGCAUAAGGGUUCAUAACAUGUAAUUUAAACUUCAUACCACUUCCUCCCUCAAUCCCAUCAACCAAUGAUCUAGAACCAACAACUUCAGGGUCAAAGUGAACUUCUAGCUCAUUGGACAUCCUGUUGUAACGAAACUGCCGUACCCCUUUUAAUGUGCUAAGCACUCCUUCUAAAAGCUGUACAUCCAUCUCACUGAAUAUCCCAUCAACUCCUAGUAUGAUUUUGUCCUGCUGAUUACUCUGUACAAGUGCAGCUUCAAAACCAGCAUCUUCAAUUGCAUUCACUAUAUCAUCUUUACUAAUUACAGUAGGAUCAUACUCAACUUCACCUAAAGAAGUAGCCAAGGCCACUACUGCCCUUUUGACUCCAGGAAGAUCUCUCAAAAUACCUUCAACUGAGUUCACACAGGCUGCACACGUCAUACCCCCUAUUGUGAACUGCCCCAAAAGAGUUCCAUUUGGCUUUGUUUUAAAUGUAAUGGGUUCAGCUAGAAUCUCAGCCUCAAAGCCUGCAUCCUCAAUUGCUUUCUUGAUGUCAUCAUCCUUAACCAAAGUAGGGUUAAACACGACAUCAGCCUUAUUUUGAAGCAAGGCAACAGAGGCUCUCAAAACCCCAUUGACGCUCUUGAGAGCUGAUUCCACGGAAUUAGAGCAGGCAGCACAGGUCAUCCCCGUAACUCUGAUCUGAAUCCUCUUCAUCGCUUCUUCUCCUUCUGCUUCUCCUUCCCCGUCAAUCAUAAUUGUAUGCGAAUAAUCCGGGCUUUCAUAGGAGUCAAGGAGCCUAACGUCUUCGAGGUCGCCAGCUUCAUCUCCCGCCACGAUCAACGGACGUGAUUUCCUAUCGCCGGGGACCUCGGACAGCUGCAGGUCUCUUACGCUCGGCAACAUUGUUAGAUGCAACCCAGCGAGAGACAAUCUCUAGCAGAAGAAGAAGAAAGAAGAAUGUAAAUAAAAUAAAAUAAAAUAAAGGGAGAAGAUAGAUAUAGAUUUUUAGAGAGAGAGGGAGAGAGAAGUUCCGGAGGAACAGGUGGGCGUAUGCAGAAAUGUUAGCAUUAAGCAGAAAAUUUGCUGGGGGGAUGAAAUUACGAAACUGCGCUCUUGAAGAGUUGGUGAUUUUGUC
RNAcentral lists this unclassified non-coding RNA (3926 nucleotides) under Hevea brasiliensis (rubber tree). Lineage: Eukaryota; Viridiplantae; Streptophyta; Magnoliopsida; Malpighiales; Euphorbiaceae. The record is from RNAcentral.